CACAAUUAUGUCUAUUAAUGAGGUAAUGUGAUAUUUAGACACAUGCAUACAUUAUGUAAUAUUUAUAUCAAAUUAAAGAUUCCUGAAACAUUUAAUAUUUCUUUAUGAUAAAAACUUUAUUCUUUCUUCUAGCGUUUUGACAUGUACAUGUUAACUCUUUAAAAUAUUCAUGCUCACCCUAUUGUGCAAUAGUUUACUGGAACUUCUUAUUUCUAACUAUAUCAUUGAUCAACCUUUCCCCAUCCUUCCCUCUCCCUUACUUUUCCCAGUCUCUGGAAACCACCAUUCUAUUCUCAACUUUAUGGAAUCAACUGUUGUGGAAUCCACAAAUGAAUGGAUCAUGUGGCAACUCAUCUUUUUGUGCCUGGCUUAUUUUAGUUAAUGUAGUCAUCUCUAGUUCCAUCCAUGUUGUCACAAAUGAUAGAGCUUCAUUUUUUAUGGCUGAGUAGUAUUCUAUUGUGCAUAUGAACCACAUUUGCUUUAUUCAUUCCCCAGUUCAUAGACAUAGAUUGUUUUCAUUUCUUGGUUAUUAUGAAAAGUGACAAUGAACAUGUCAAUACAGAUGUCUCUUCAACAGCUAAUUUCAUAUAUGUAUAUGAAGAAGGCAUGAAAUUGCUGGAUCAUGUUUGUUUUAUUUAUUGAGGAACUGUCACAAUGUUUUCCAUAUGGCGUACUAACUCACAUUCCCAUGAUCAGUGUGCAGUGAUUCUCUUUUAUCUACAUCCUU
This 727-nucleotide long non-coding RNA is filed under the name Marmota monax (woodchuck). Lineage: Eukaryota; Metazoa; Chordata; Mammalia; Rodentia; Sciuridae. The record is from RNAcentral.